UGGCAGCUCUCUUCGUCACCUCGGAUGCUGGUCGGGAGUUAGCGAAGGAAACAAAGGAAAACACUGAAAAGAUGGCAACGGAGACUGGAGUUGCCGACCAGAAGUAUGGCGGAUAUGGCCCAGGCGGUGGCGGCUACCACAAUGGCGGCGGUUACCCUGGAGGAGGCUACAACGGCGGCGGCUACCACAAUGGUGGCGGUUAUCCGGGAGGAGGCUACCACAACGGCGGGGGUUAUCCAGGUAGUGGUGGCGGCUAUCACAAUGGUGGUGGAGGUCGCUGCUACAAUGGUUGUUGCCGCCGCGGAUACUAUGGUGGUUGCCAGUGUUGCGCGCAUCCAGAUGAGAUCCCCGAUCCGGAAUACCGUGCUGAGCCUAUGUAUGGACAUUAGAUGGGUAUAACCAGGACUCCAAGGGAAUGUUUUCCAGUAUUGAAUAAAGUGACUUGCGAGUGUAAGAGUUGAGGAAACAUUUGCCCAAUGUUUCUUUGCUCAAGCUGUAUUACGUUUUCUGUGAUAUUUAGAUGUUUG
This 527-nucleotide unclassified non-coding RNA is filed under the name Hevea brasiliensis (rubber tree). Lineage: Eukaryota; Viridiplantae; Streptophyta; Magnoliopsida; Malpighiales; Euphorbiaceae. The record is from RNAcentral.